This 465-nucleotide ribosomal RNA is filed under the name bacterium MF16. RNAcentral describes it as "partial 16S ribosomal RNA". The record is from RNAcentral.
ACCGUCACCGGGCCGCCCUUUUUGAACGGCGGUCCUUUGUCCCUCACAACAGAGCUUUACGACCCGAAGGCCUUUUUUGGUCAAGGGGGGUCGGUCCGUCAGGCUUUUGCCCAUUGCGGAAGAUUCCCUACUGGUGCCUUCCGUAGGAGUUUGGGCCGUGUUUCAGUCCCAGUGUGGCCGGUCACCCUUUCAGGCCGGGUACGGAUUGUCGCCUUGGUGAACCGUUACCUCACCAACUAGGUAAUGGGCCGCGGGCCCAUCCGCAAGUGACAGCCAAAGGCCGCCUUUCAACCAAAGACCAUGCGGUCUUCGGUGUUAUCCGGUAUUAGCUCCGGUUUCCCGGAGUUAUCCCGGUCUUGCGGGCAGGUUGCCCACGUGUUACUCACCCGUCCGCCGCUGACCGAAUCAGAGCAAGCUCCAAUCCAGUCCGCUCGACUUGCAUGUAUUAGGCACGCGUGAUCAGCG